Molecule: ribosomal RNA, 441 nt
Filed under: uncultured bacterium
Lineage: Bacteria
Description: SSU rRNA
Rfam family: Bacterial small subunit ribosomal RNA
Source: RNAcentral
AGAACGAACGCUGGCGGCAGGCUUAACACAUGCAAGUCGAGCGCCCCGCAAGGGGAGCGGCAGACGGGUGAGUAACGCGUGGGGAUAUGCCCAAAGGUGCGGAAUAACUCAGGGAAACUUGAGCUAAUACCGCAUGUGCCCGAAAGGGGAAAGAUUUAUCGCCUUUGGAUUAACCCGCGUCAGAUUAGCUAGUUGGUGAGGUAAUGGCUCACCAAGGCGACGAUCUGUAGCUGGUCUGAGAGGAUGACCAGCCACACUGGGACUGAGACACGGCCCAGACUCCUACGGGAGGCAGCAGUGGGAAUAUUGGACAAUGGGCGCAAGCCUGAUCCAGCCAUGCCGCGUGAGUGAUGAAGGCCUUAGGGUUGUAAAGCUCUUUCGACGGGACGAUAAUGACGGUACCCGUAGAAGAAGCCCGGCUAACUUCGUGCCAGCAGCCGC